GCCGCAGGUCAGGGGAAAAAUGCGAAGCUUUUAUCUAAACAAAAUAUUGCUUUUGUUAAGAGCUUUCUGCACACAGAAGCUUUCCAGCCACGUGACACUGACCUUCCACUCCCCCAGAUUCAGCACUUUGCAGUCUGUUGUUAUUUUUAGUAGAUACAUAAAAGAAUCUCGAAAACUUUUAGCUCCGAAGAAAGCGUGCUUACAGACGGUGCCUCCACAUACCGGUCCUCAACUGUUCUUAAAGGACUCCCGGAGAAUCAGACAGCAGAGCGAAGGCCAGUACUGCACAGAACUGGCAGGACCAAGGGCAGUGAAGAGCGAGGUCUUGGAAAGUCCAGCAGUGGGGGCGGGGAGGGCGGUGGCCCAAGCCUGUAAUUCCAGAGAUUUGGGAGGUUGAGGCAGGAAGAUCAUAAGUUCAAAGCCAGUCUCAGCAACUUAGGGAGGCCCCGUAGCAAAAAUUAAGAGGAAAAAAAAAAGCCGACUGGAGAGGCAGUUCAAUGGUGAAGUACCCCUGGGUUCAGUCCCUAGGACCCGAAUAAAAAGGAGAAGUUUGGGUCAUAGACUUACAGGAUCAUGGAUGGUUUUACUAAGUGGGGGUGUUAGAAUAAUGACAUUGGAACACAUUUUUAGGUUCCUCCGUGGACAGGACUUUAGCAAUCUGUUUCUAGAUAAGAAUGUAGAUUUUAAUGAUGAUGAUGAUGAUGAUAAUGAAGUGUUUGCUGGACUCACCAGAGAGAAGACAUUAUCAAAGCCAUGGAUUAGUCCUUAAUAUGUGUCUGGCACCGGGCAGACUGUGCAGAGCACUCUGGGAGAGUCUCAAGGAUUUUACACCUAAAGAGCUUUACAAAUAAAUGUAUAAAAUAUAUUAAGAUCUGUUAUAAAAGUGCUUUCUUUCCCCCACUUUGAGUCAUAUGGUGCAGUACCAAUUAGUUGCUCACAUCAAAACUGAGACUUCUGUUUUGGAGGAAUUAACAAAAGACAACACAGCCUUA
This 992-nucleotide long non-coding RNA is filed under the name Marmota monax (woodchuck). Lineage: Eukaryota; Metazoa; Chordata; Mammalia; Rodentia; Sciuridae. The record is from RNAcentral.